GCAGUCGAGCGGACAGAAGGGAAGCUUGCUCCCGGAUGUUAGCGGCGGACGGGUGAGUAACACGUGGGUAACCUGCCUGUAAGACUGGGAUAACUCCGGGAAACCGGAGCUAAUACCGGAUAGUUCCUUGAACCGCAUGGUUCAAGGAUGAAAGACGGUUUCGGCUGUCACUUACAGAUGGACCCGCGGCGCAUUAGCUAGUUGGUGGGGUAAUGGCUCACCAAGGCGACGAUGCGUAGCCGACCUGAGAGGGUGAUCGGCCACACUGGGACUGAGACACGGCCCAGACUCCUACGGGAGGCAGCAGUAGGGAAUCUUCCGCAAUGGACGAAAGUCUGACGGAGCAACGCCGCGUGAGUGAUGAAGGUUUUCGGAUCGUAAAGCUCUGUUGUUAGGGAAGAACAAGUGCGAGAGUAACUGCUCGCACCUUGACGGUACCUAACCAGAAAGCCACGGCUAACUACGUGCCAGCAGCCGCGGUAAUACGUAGGUGGCAAGCGUUGUCCGGAAUUAUUGGGCGUAAAGGGCUCGCAGGCGGUUUCUUAAGUCUGAUGUGAAAGCCCCCGGCUCAACCGGGGAGGGUCAUUGGAAACUGGGAAACUUGAGUGCAGAAGAGGAGAGUGGAAUUCCACGUGUAGCGGUGAAAUGCGUAGAGAUGUGGAGGAACACCAGUGGCGAAGGCGACUCUCUGGUCUGUAACUGACGCUGAGGAGCGAAAGCGUGGGGAGCGAACAGGAUUAGAUACCCUGGUAGUCCACGCCGUAAACGAUGAGUGCUAAGUGUUAGGGGGUUUCCGCCCCUUAGUGCUGCAGCUAACGCAUUAAGCACUCCGCCUGGGGAGUACGGUCGCAAGACUGAACUCAAGGAAUUGACGGGGCCCGCACAAGCGGUGGAGCAUGUGGUUUAUUC
Molecule: ribosomal RNA, 909 nt
Filed under: Bacillus sp. NCCP-528
Lineage: Bacteria; Bacillati; Bacillota; Bacilli; Caryophanales; Bacillaceae
Description: bacterial SSU rRNA
Rfam family: Bacterial small subunit ribosomal RNA
Source: RNAcentral